CAAUCUAUUUCAUAUAACUAAGCAUUAUUCUAACAAACAUUAUUUUUAUCCCAGGACUGAGCAUUAGCAUAAGAUGCCAGAUUUUAUUUUCCCACGUUUAGCACUGGCACUGGCACUGGCACCAGCAGUGUCCGUAAGCACUGGUUUUCACCACGUUAUUUCUUUCAAAAGUCCCAUUAAUACAACCACGUCCAAAAGUCCCAUUAAUACAACAUGUAACAGAAUAUUGUAAUCGUACAGUGUCCGCCUGUCCGGUUAGGUUCAUAGCCAUUGUACAAAAGUCAGGAGCUUGGUCUUUCCUUGCUGCAAUUGGGAAAUCAAAAUAGGUUAAUUCAUACGAUAAUUUACAUUUUGUAAAUAUACACAAACAACUCAGGCAAUUUUGCAAACUCUAGGCUCAGAUAUCAACGACGUAGUCGUAUACAUAGAAUAUGAUGGAUUUAUAUUACGAAAGAGCAUUUCACAACGCAAACUUUGAUAAGAGAUUUUGGGCUUGGAAAUCAGAAAGCAGAGGAUUCAGGAGUAUGUAAAGAAGAGGAAACAUUUACAGCAUUUUACAAACUUUAGAACAUGCAGCUACAGACAGCAACCACGUGAUGUUACUGCUGAAAAUGAUAGAGCAAACUAUUGUAGAUUAACACAUACCUCAGGAUUUGGGGGUUGGACUGUUGGGAGCAUGCAUAUAAUUUCAGAAAUCAGCACCCUAGAACCAAACUGGUUACCAUAAUUUAAACCGUUUGCACUUGAAGCUAAGAAUAGGUAAUAACAUUUGAAUUCAAGAAUUAGUAAUAGUAUCUUUGAACAGAAUGCAUUCUGCAAUUUGAAUCAGCAGAUAUCAUCAGUAUGAAAAUAGGAGCUCUGCAAAAUGUAUGUCAAGAGUACACAGUGGUCCACAAAGUUGAAUGAUGGUGAACUACCGAGAAACCUAAGCACGCAACAUAUAUCAUAUAAUCGCUAAAUAUUUAGCCUUUAAGGUAGCGAUAUUUUGCAGUGUCAGGUAACUAAAAGUCAAUCAGCAGGAGUUGAUUGAGCAAUUACAGAGAUGGUGCAAGUCAACAAUUGUAACAGUACUUGUAUUGCCAGAUCAACUGUAAAGCCAAGCAUGUUAACCAUCCAUAAUAUGGUAACUAACAAAUAAAGGAUAAAAGUCUUCUCUGACAUCAUGGCAGCACAGACAGAUACCAUACAACUCAGUUUUUAUUUCAUAUUUCAUAAAAGCACAAGAAAAUGUUCAUGGCAGCCUUACUUUAAAAAAAAAAGGAUCACAUUGUUGUGUAAGCUAAUCUCUGUUCCAAUUCCCAGCAUGAAUGUAAUAAAGCUAGUGCAUCUCAGAACAUGGACAUGAUGAUGAAGUCUUAAGUGGUGGCUCAAUGCAAGUAGCAAGUAUAAUUCAACCAGCAGCAAGCAAAGUUGCUGGUAACACAAGUUGCCAGUAAAGGGUGGACGACGAGGGGCUGACAUGUUGGUCUGGCUGAUUAGGAUGCUUCUUCAGAAUAAAAGUUGAUUAGGUGGAAGAUGAUACUUUGGAUUUUAAACUGUUUUCAAUUUCAGGAUGAAAAAUAGAAAAGAGCUGAGGACUCAAAUUGGACUUCUACUUAGUUUGUCACAUAUCCAGCCUGCAGGCUCCGUAUCUAGGCGCCCAUCAACUGCGGAGAUGUAAGAGAAACAAUCGCACACCAAGAACCCCGUAAAUUGGAGAAACUAUACGAUGCUCUGGUCUAAAAAAACUAUACGAGUCGAGUCAUGACACGAGACGCGAUCGGCGCAUCGGGCUGCCGACACAAGACCAAAGCCCCUACCUCAGCGACAAACGGAAGGAGCGCACGAAAACCCUAGCGACAGGCGCACGGGAGGAUGAAUCUGCCCGCACGAGCUCUAACCCUAGGGCAAAGCAUCUGCUGCGAGGAAGGAAGGGGAGGAAGGAAGGGGGUGGAGAGAAAUGGCGUGGGCAGCUGAUCCCUCACCUGUCGGGCGCGGUCGCUUCUCGGAGGCAGCCCCAUGCGCCCGUAGCCCCCGCCGCCACCGGUGCGCAGGACUCGUGCGCGCCCGGCAAAUCGAAUCGAAACGUGCCCGGAUCGAUCAGCGGAGUCGACGAGGAGGAAACAGCCAAGUGGGGUGGGUUAGGAUUUGAGGCGGAGCAUGCUCCUUCGCUUGCCUUCGGGGAUGGGGAAUCGCAGAUUGGGGAUUCGAGGGAGGCAGGGAGCGCCGGAGCGGAAGGUAGAAGACUCUGGAACAAAGCUGUCCGAACUCCGAACGGGGGAAGAAGGGCGGCGCGAUGCGG
This 2281-nucleotide long non-coding RNA is filed under the name Panicum hallii. Its description in RNAcentral is "long non-coding RNA (PHAL_LNC000099)". Lineage: Eukaryota; Viridiplantae; Streptophyta; Magnoliopsida; Poales; Poaceae. The record is from RNAcentral.